GGUGAACCUGCGGAGGGAUCAUUACUGAGUACUACACUCUCUACCCUUUGUGAACUAUUAUACCUGUUGCUUCGGCGGCGCCCGCGAGGGCGCCCGCCGGUCUCAUCAGAAUCUCUGUUUUCGAACCCGACGAUACUUCUGAGUGUUCUUAGCGAACUGUCAAAACUUUUAACAACGGAUCUCUUGGCUCCAGCAUCGAUGAAGAACGCAGCGAAACGCGAUAUGUAAUGUGAAUUGCAGAAUUCAGUGAAUCAUCGAAUCUUUGAACGCACAUGGCGCCUUCCAGUAUCCUGGGAGGCAUGCCUGUCCGAGCGUCGUUUCAACCCUCGAGCCCCCCGUGGCCCGGCGUUGGGGAUCUGCCACGGCAGGCCCCUAAAACCAGUGGCGGACCCGCUGGGCCCUCUCCUUUGCGCAGUAGCAUCAGCCUCGCAUCGGGAGCCCUCGGCGUCCUGCCUCUAAACCCCCCACAAGCCCGCUCCGGCGGCACCAAGGUUGACCUCGGAUCAGGUAGGAAUACCCGCUGAACUUAAGCAUAUCAAUAAGGCGGAGG
RNAcentral lists this ribosomal RNA (550 nucleotides) under fungal endophyte. RNAcentral describes it as "eukaryotic LSU rRNA". The stretch from base 164 to 317 matches the Rfam family "5.8S ribosomal RNA". The record is from RNAcentral. Lineage: Eukaryota; Fungi.